Molecule: non-coding RNA, 1716 nt
Organism: Microcebus murinus (gray mouse lemur)
Lineage: Eukaryota; Metazoa; Chordata; Mammalia; Primates; Cheirogaleidae
Source: RefSeq, a predicted model, not a curated record
ACGUUAAGUAACUUGCCUGAGGUCACCCAGCUAUUAAGUAGAAAAGUCAGGUUUCAAACUCAGGUCUGUGCAUCUGAUUCCAGAACCCAUACUCUGAACUACUGUCAACCAGUAGCCAAAGAGAAGAAAGAACAUCUGUAACUCCCUUGGUGCCAGCCUGCAGGGAUCUGCUCAGGAGCAAUCAGGAAAGAGCUGCCUAAUUCACACCCUUAACUCCCUGGCUGCUUCAAUUCUUCCCUCAGGCAGGUUGCUAAGAGAUACAAUGUCCUCAGGAAAGAGGGAGCCCUAAGUUUCCCCAGUUUUGUUAAUGUGAGAAAAGAUCAGAGAGUUUCCCCAAACAGUUCUGAGUUGGAUGACCCAGGGAUGGUUGGAGAUGCCAUGGAGCAGAGAAACAAAUACAGAAAGAAAUCAGUGUCGAGAAAAGCUAAAUUCCCAGUUUGCCAAGGCCUGGCUCUGCCUGGCACAGCCUUGCCAGGGUUCAGGGAGGAAACUGCCUUGGGCACCAGAAUCCACGUGCCUCUGCUCCCUGUCCCCCUCCCUGUCCUGCUCAGACACCCCUUCCCAGCCUCCCCAGCCUGCCCAGCCCCUGAUCAGAAUGCAGCAUCACAAUGGGCUGUUUUUAAUCCUUGCUAGAUCUCUUUUAUUUUUUUCUCCCUUUGCUGGGCUUCCUGGGCUGUAAUUUUUCCCUCUGUGUCAUCCAUCACAGACACAACCGUCGCUUGUGCAAAUUAAAAUGCACCUCAGAAUAAUAAAAAAGGGGCUUUCUUCCCCCCUCCUUUUCCUUCCCAGCAGCAACUCCUCAACACAAAACAUUUGUCUCUGGGCAAGAGCAGGAGCACUAAUUAACCCUGUGUGUGCCACCACCAGGCCCAUAUAGUCCCUGCAGCUGUGUGCCAGCAGCGAUCGGGGCUGAGGGGCAGCUGGAGAGUGGCAGGGAGAUGAGCCUGGUUCCCCAGACUUCACCGCGGUGCUUACCAUGUGCCUGGCACUGUCCAAACAUUGCCCCUUUAGUCCUCCCUACAACCUGUGGAGCAGGAACCAUUAUUAUCUUCAUUUGUAAAAUGCAGGAACUGCGGGUGGUUAAGUGACUUGACCAAUUAGUCAGUUUCAGCACUGUCUGACUCCAAAGUCCCUACUUUUUGCUACUCCAAGUGUGGUUACACACUACAUUUUGGGCUGGAUGACCCAAGUGUGGUUCCAUGGACGUGGUCCACAUGAUACCUUGGGCAUCACCUGGAAGUUGUUAGGAAUGCAGAAUUUCAGGCCCUAACUCAGACAUACUGAAUCAGAAUCCACAUUUUAACAAAAUACCCAGGCAAUUCAUGUGCACAUUGAAGUUUAAGAUCUGCUCCCCGUUCCUACCACCUUGAUGUCCCUUUUUUGACUUGCCAAGAAAAGCCCUUUUCUGGCGAUAGAUUAGGAGAUUCCAUGGACUCAGUUCAAGCAUCACCUCCUCCAAGAAGACAGGACCCAGAUGGACCUGACCAGGCCUUUCUACCUGGGCCUAUUUCCAUCACAGAUAACUAGAAACCCUGGAAAUUAUAUAGAAAAUAAUCCUAAGAAGACUCUGAAAGGUGGAAAGAAGGAGGCAGAUCAGCUACGGAGAUAGGACCCGAGAAACAAGAUGAUGGUCAGCCGGAGGCUCCACCUGGCGUCAUCACUCCAGGGGCCCAGUUGAUGGAGCAGCCGCCAUCUGCAUUAGUGCCGUUUGUGAAA